This is a non-coding RNA of Paramormyrops kingsleyae, 521 nucleotides long. Lineage: Eukaryota; Metazoa; Chordata; Actinopteri; Osteoglossiformes; Mormyridae. The record is from RefSeq and is a predicted model, not a curated record.
AAACGGAUUUAGAGACAGGAGGCGCAACGGCUCCGCUUCUUUCCGCGGUUCCCAGGCUUUUUCUGUGUUGAGCAAAGCAGCUCUUCUGAACCCGAUCGACCGAGUCUACUGCAGCAGUACAGCGCGCGCUGCACGCAGUGGCAAGUUUAAGUUUUAACAUUUCAUUUCGGAAAAGGUUUGCAAACACUGCAUACAUCUUCGGUGGAUUUAACUGCACGCGGAAAGACGGUGCGAUUUUCUUUUUUCACCUGGGGCUUGAAGAAGACAUCUACACUACCUAUCCAGUUCAGGAAGGACACCCCUUUCAAGUAAGAAUCCUCCUGCUUGCGGGUGCUGGUUCCUGGUGUCCUUAAGCAAUGAUAGAAAUCUCUGUGUGGACACUGAGAGCUCUCAUGCUUCUGGUGCUCAUGUGGCCAAGCUCACUGGAGUGUCAGCACAUUACAGUUCACACGAAGGUUCCUACGAGGCCAGAGUACCAGCCGGACCGUGGAACCAGGGAGGGGGGGGUUUCAGGCUCCUGG